UGGGGAAUAUUGCACAAUGGGGGAAACCCUGAUGCAGCGACGCCGCGUGCGGGAAGAAGGCCUUCGGGUUGUAAACCGCUUUCAAUUGGGAAGAAGAGAUGAGGGUUAAUACCCCUCUGAUUUGACGGUACCUUUAGAAGAAGCACCGGCUAAUUUCGUGCCAGCAGCCGCGGUAAUACGAAAGGUGCAAGCGUUGUUCGGAUUUACUGGGCGUAAAGAGAUCGUAGGUGGUUUGUUAAGUCGGAUGUGAAAUCCCGGGGCUCAACCCCGGAACUGCAUUCGAUACUGGCAGGCUAGAGUUUGGGAGGGGUAAGCGGAAUUCCGUGUGUAGCAGUGAAAUGCGUAGAUAUACGGAGGAACACCUGAGGCGAAGGCGGCUUACUGGACCAAUACUGACACUGAGGAUCGAAAGCGUGGGUAGCAAACA
RNAcentral lists this ribosomal RNA (427 nucleotides) under uncultured Zetaproteobacteria bacterium. Its description in RNAcentral is "bacterial SSU rRNA". It matches the Rfam family "Bacterial small subunit ribosomal RNA", at positions 355 to 774 of the family's 1533-position model. Lineage: Bacteria; Pseudomonadati; Pseudomonadota; Candidatius Mariprofundia. The record is from RNAcentral.